Medicago truncatula (barrel medic) is the source of this 438-nucleotide long non-coding RNA. RefSeq lists it as uncharacterized. The record is from RefSeq and is a predicted model, not a curated record. NCBI's taxonomy places the organism in Eukaryota, Viridiplantae, Streptophyta, Magnoliopsida, Fabales, Fabaceae. The transcript is spliced from 2 exons.
UAUAACUUUUUCCUUCAAAAAAACCAUAUAACUUUUAUUUAUAGAGCUGUUAAAAAUUUCAAUUUAUUAUAUCGAGAGGAUGAAAAAUAUGAUUAAGCUUGUUUAUGCUUUGAUAAUGUUUCUUUUUCCAAUUCUUUCUGAUUCCGCUUACCGUUGGGAUGAAAAGGCAUUCGUCAAAUGAGGGGUGGACGGGGUGGCUUUGAGGAUGGAUGGGAAGGGCGGCAAACCAAGGCACCGUUAUUUUAGGGGUACCAAAGUCUGUUUGAGAAAAUUGAGUUCUCUAAUAAGUUUGAAUUCAUUAGAUAUGGGUUGUGAUGGGAAUUGUGUGUAAGAAGUAUUAGAUUAAGAAUGAGAAGUUAAGUCAUUGUGGAAAAGAACUCACCUCUUGUUUGUUAUUUAUGUUGUAAUUGAAUAUAUUACUAAGUUGUUAACGUUCCA